Molecule: long non-coding RNA, 3284 nt
Organism: Strigops habroptila (Kakapo)
Lineage: Eukaryota; Metazoa; Chordata; Aves; Psittaciformes; Psittacidae
Exons: 5
Source: RefSeq, a predicted model, not a curated record
GCGUGACCCACACAAACCAGUGACUCUCCAGAAACCUUCCAAAACAAAGAGGCAAGAAAGCAGAACAAUUUAUAUUGCAGGUUGGGAUAGGAGGUUCCCAUUUCUUUUCAGCAUGCAAACUCCUAACCUCAUCUCCAUAGCGAAAUAUCUGGAGCUAUACAGAAGUGCCUGCUUUGAGCUCCAGGAGUGUUCAUGCAAGAAGCUAAAGCAUGGAGAAUUUGGAUUGCUGUGAACCUGCAUUUUUGCCUCAGCUUAGCAACUUCUCCAUGAAGGAUUUACUGGAAGGGGGACAGGAACACCAAAAGGCAUCUCAGUGCUUCAAGGAAACGAAUGGAAAAUAACCACAGACCACAGGCAAAUGGAGAUGGAUGGAAAGGAAAGGUAUUGGAAAAGCUCCGAGGCAGUUGGCAUUUUAUUAGCUAUGGGCUAAUAACACCCUGGGGGGAGAAGAUGCUCUCGGAUGCACUUUUGAACAAGGUGCAGACAACAAUCUGAGCCCACUAUCAUAUCCCGCUGCUGAAGGACAGCACAGGAUAAGAGACCACCUCCUUCAGUGAACCCAGAAGUGCCUCCCGUCCUGGUGCUGCCGUGCUUCUGUCCAGCCCCAGCCAUAAACAGUCUUUUCCUGUGGUGUGGGGGUGACGAAAGCCAGAAAUGAAAGGAAUGUUUUCCUAAGACUUGCUAGUUUUAUUUAGCUUGGUUCAAAAUAGACCUCCGACAAGGAUAACAAUAAAUGUCAGCAAGACACUACAUUAAGGCGGACCUGAAGCUCGUUGCUUGUGAUGUAGGAAAAGUUUACCUUGAAACUUUUUGUCCUGAGUUCUUUGAAUUCCAGGAUUUUAAUCCUGUAGUAGAUUCUGCAUAGCAUGUUGGAUGCUUUAAACUUUGUAAUGCUAAGGGUGUUCUCCCUGUAGCCUGCCUUUCCCUUGUAACCACACACCUGGACCAAGUUAUCCUCAGGGCCUUGCACAGAUGCAUUUGGAUGUUUUUUUCUGUCUGAUUUCUCCUAAAGAUUGAUAACUAUGGGUAAGAGAAACAACCUUUCUUACACUGUAUUUUUACCCUUUGCCUCAUAGCUUUUAGUUUAUAACUUUAGAACACGCUGGAUAACACAAAGAGAAAUAUCUUACAUAUCCAAUAAAUAUCACGUGUAAGUUACAUGUGCAUGGAGCAUGCAAUUCCUGCCCCUCAUCAAGCGCACUCCAGUCAGUGCUAACAUCAUCUCAGGCAGGAGCAACCAGUAAUGAGUUUAAGUGGGUUUGGACAAAAACUAUAUUGUUACUACUGGAAAACUGCUCUGUGGACUCCCUGCUCCACUGUAGGGAACAUUCAGAAGACAACAGUUGUCUGGAAGACCCCAUUGCUUCUGUUCCUGGCUGGCCACUUGGAAGAUGGUUUUCCUUCUCUCUCAUUUUCUCUCCUUGUUUUGGCUGUGGUUUUGUUUUGUUUCAUUUUGGUUUUAUUUGUUUGGUUUUUUCAUUGUGGCUGGGUUUUUUGGUUGCUCUCCCCUCUCUUAAAAUAGCUUUGAGGCCCAUGUAUGCCAUGAAUUCUGGAUUCAGCUAAAUGUGUAUAUAUAUAGUUGUCCUAGUGAGAGAUCCAUGUUUAGUGAAUUUAAAAAACUGUGCUGUAGAUAUAUUUCUCAGUCAUCUUUGUGGAACCCCUGCAGAGUGGUUCAUGGACUCCAAGCAGUCUGCAGACCUCUGUUUGAGAAUCAGUGCAGAUAAAGAUCUAUUAUUGGCUUUUUCUCAGCUGUAAUUUAUAGCAUAUCUAUCGAAUAAUGUGAACUACUUUAAUAUUUCCACUUCUGGCAGCAUUUCGGAACAAAGCAACAUCUCUUGAUCUGUUGUUCCUGCAAAGCAAAAUCAUGUACAUCUGUAAAUUGGUGAAUCCUGAUGAUUUUCCUGUUAAAGGCAGCUGAAGAUCUGGUUCUCUGUUUUCUGUGACUACGCUGAGUGGAACCAUAGUUCUGCUUUGAGCCAGGAAGUUACACUGGUUGGGUUGCAGAGGUCCUCUGCAAGCUAUAUGGCUUUAUAAUUCUAUAAAGAAGAAGAUUGCAAAGCUGAGGAACACAGGGAUGCCUAAGAAGAUGGAGAGGACCAGUGGGCAACACAGAGAAAGGAAUAAAAAACCAUACAAUUAAUUAUUUUAGGCUGCAUUUCUUCAAGCUUCACUGUUGGUAUUUUACUGUUAGAAAGUAUGGGGGAUUCACUGCAAAGCCAGAUUUUUGGGAAGAAAAUGAACUUGCAAAUUCAUGAACUAGUUUUAUUUGUUCAGUGUCCUAAUUAAAGGUUGUGUCCUCUAUGUCCACAGCUAGAUUCAAAGCCAUGGUUUCUUUUAGCUUGUAGAGCUAAUGAUACAUAUUAUUGGUAACUCACAGUGUUAUUUGAUGGUCAUAGUCCACCAGGUGACUGCACUACAAGAGCAAUGUAAUAGUGUUAUUGAAAUUGGCACCUAUUUUGUAUACAACAAGCUUUAUCAGUCAGUCCAUGGAAGUUCAUACUUCAGAGCUGAUGACUUUAGCAGUGGAUGAUCUAUGCAGGGCUGGCUGCAUAUGGAAAUGCUGGGUUUGAACAGUAUAUUUGCCUAAGCAAGUCCUCCCUCCUGAGAAAUGAGUAUGGAGAUGGGUAUAUUCUGGAAUUGGCUCUUAUUAGAUGGACAUAGAUGUAAAAUCUGUACAGAGAACUCCUCAUCUGGACAUUUCACAUAGAUAACUGUGUAAUAACUUAAUGCCAAGUCAUAGAAAGGUGCGUAUCAAAACCCCCCAGCGCUAUCAUCUGCUUGCAGCACAGCCUGUAACACUGUCUCACAGGCUUUCUGCAGCACUUGUUAUAGGUUUUGUUUGGCUUCAUGGGCACGAACCAGCCACAGCAAUGAGAGGAGAACAGACUCUCUUCUGUGGCCAAGUAGGUGAAAGGCUGCAUUUGUUGCAUGGUGUAGCUUUAGUGGCACAAAGAGCUUGUGUAAGGGACAUAAAAGCCCUGAGUUUCAUUGAGUAGUCAUGAGAUGGGGGGAAAGAAGGUGAGAAACAUCACAGGAAAGAAAGUGUGGAAAAGGGGAUAUAGAGAAGUGCAAAGUGGAAGAGUUUUUGUAGGGGGCACACAUAGAAGGGGUGUGUCUGCAUUUCAGGAUAAUGUAGAAAUACCUAACUAGUAAGUGAAGGACAUCUUCCUGGGUUAGGUUGGAAUGGGAAAAAACAGAGCAAGUUGAUAGUUCAGGUAUCUUUACACUGUGUCAUGCAUUGACUCAUUAACGUAAAAGUAACUGAGACCCUGAGGAAAGUGUUU